RNAcentral lists this transfer RNA (71 nucleotides) under Loxodonta africana (African savanna elephant). It matches the Rfam family "tRNA". Rfam says of the family: Transfer RNA (tRNA) molecules are approximately 80 nucleotides in length. Their secondary structure includes four short double-helical elements and three loops (D, anti-codon, and T loops). Lineage: Eukaryota; Metazoa; Chordata; Mammalia; Proboscidea; Elephantidae. The record is from Rfam by way of RNAcentral.
ACAUGGGUGGUUCAGUGGUAGAAUCCUUGCCUUCCAUGCAGAAGACCUGGGUUCAAUUCCUGGCCAGUGCA